CCCAGUAUGGUGGAUAUGACACUCGGCUUGUAAUCGAGUGGGUUCGGGUUCGAAUCCCGAGUGAGGAA
RNAcentral lists this transfer RNA (68 nucleotides) under Trichonephila inaurata madagascariensis. RNAcentral describes it as "tRNA-Thr". The record is from RNAcentral. Lineage: Eukaryota; Metazoa; Arthropoda; Arachnida; Araneae; Nephilidae.